UGGGGAAUAUUGGACAAUGGGCGCAAGCCUGAUCCAGCAAUGCCGCGUGUGUGAAGAAGGCCUGCGGGUUGUAAAGCACUUUUGUCCGGAAAGAAAUCGCACGGAUUAAUACCCUGUGUGGAUGACGGUAUCGGAAGAAUAAGCACCGGCUAACUUCGUGCCAGCAGUCGCGGUAAUACGAAGGGUGCAAGCGUUAAUCGGACUUACUGGGCGUAAAGGGUGCGUAGGUGGUCUGUUAAGUCGGAUGUGAAAGCCCCGGGCUCAACCUGGGAAUGGCAUCUGAUACUGGCGGACUUGGAGUCUUGGAGAGGGUGGUGGAAUUCCUGGUGUAGCGGUGAAAUGCGUAGAGAUCAGGAGGAACACUAGUGGCGAAGGCGGCCACCUGGCCAAAAGACUGACGCUGAGGCACGAAAAGCGUGGGGAGCAAACA
RNAcentral lists this ribosomal RNA (430 nucleotides) under uncultured Lysobacteraceae bacterium. RNAcentral describes it as "bacterial SSU rRNA". It matches the Rfam family "Bacterial small subunit ribosomal RNA", at positions 355 to 774 of the family's 1533-position model. Lineage: Bacteria; Pseudomonadati; Pseudomonadota; Gammaproteobacteria; Lysobacterales; Lysobacteraceae. The record is from RNAcentral.